AGGUACCSUMUYYGUCGCMGGUAKUAGCUGCARCCGUUUCYUCCCYGCUGAAAGAGCUUUACAACCCGAAGGCCUUCUUCACUCACGCGGAAUGGCUGGAUCAGGGUUUCCCCCAUUGUCCAAAAUUCCCCACUGCUGCCUCCCGUAGGAGUCUGGGCCGUGUCUCAGUCCCAGUGUGGCUGAUCAUCCUCUCAGACCAGCUACUGAUCGUCRCCUUGGUGAGCCUUUACCUCACCAACUAGCUAAUCAGGCGUAGGCCACUCCAAUAACGCGAGGUUCUUGCGAAUCCCCCGCUUUCCCCUUGGGGCGUAUGCGGUAUUAGCACAGCUUUCGCUGCGUUAUCCCCAUUACUGGACAUGUUCCUACGUAUUACUCACCCGUUCGCCACUCGCCACAGGGUUGCCCCCGUGCUGCCGUUCGACUUGCAUGUGUAAGCAUUCCGCCGCGUUMAUCUGAGCAUGAUCAACUCUAAUCGAUUCCGCGGCSCAUGCGGCCGGAGCAUGCACUCGGCCAUUCGCCUAWAGUGAGUCKAUACAUUCMUGGCSYSUUUACACUGAGUGAUGAGCAGGGGC
RNAcentral lists this ribosomal RNA (572 nucleotides) under uncultured beta proteobacterium. RNAcentral's name for it is "partial 16S ribosomal RNA". Lineage: Bacteria; Pseudomonadati; Pseudomonadota; Betaproteobacteria. The record is from RNAcentral.